RNAcentral lists this ribosomal RNA (322 nucleotides) under uncultured eukaryote. RNAcentral's name for it is "partial 18S ribosomal RNA". It matches the Rfam family "Eukaryotic small subunit ribosomal RNA", at positions 1470 to 1796 of the family's 1831-position model. The record is from RNAcentral.
CCCUUAGAUGUUCUGGGCCGCACGCGCGCUACACUGAUGCGUUCAACAAGUUUCCUUGGCCGAGAGGCCUGGGCAAUCUUCUUAAUAUGUAUCGUGAUAGGGAUAGAUUAUUGCAAUUAUUAAUCUUGAACGAGGAAUUCCCAGUAAACGCAGAUCAUCAAUCUGCAUUGAUUACGUCCCUGCCCUUUGUACACACCGCCCGUCGCACCUACCGAUUGGAUGUUCCGGUGAAGCCUCGGGAUGAGGACUGGUGCCUUUAUUGGCAUGAGUUGUUCAGAACUUGUCUAAACCUUAUCAUCUAGAGGAAGGUGAAGUCGUAACA